GAUGAACGCUGGCGGCGUGCCUAAUACAUGCAAGUCUAGCGAACGGACGAGAAGCUUGCUUCUCUGAUGUUAGCGGCGGACGGGUGAGUAACACGUGGAUAACCUACCUAUAAGACUGGGACAACUUCGGGAAACCGGAGCUAAUACCGGAUAAUAUUUUGAACCGCAUGGUUCAAAAGUGAAAGACGGUCUUGCUGUCACUUAUAGAUGGAUCCGCGCUGCAUUAGCUAGUUGGUAAGGUAACGGCUUACCAAGGCAACGAUGCAUAGCCGACCUGAGAGGGUGAUCGGCCACACUGGAACUGAGACACGGUCCAGACUCCUACGGGAGGCAGCAGUAGGGAAUCUUCCGCAAUGGGCGAAAGCCUGACGGAGCAACGCCGCGUGAGUGAUGAAGGUCUUCGGAUCGUAAAACUCUGUUAUUAGGGAAGAACAUAUGUGUAAGUAACUGUGCACAUCUUGACGGUACCUAAUCAGAAAGCCACGGCUAACUACGUG
This 497-nucleotide ribosomal RNA is filed under the name uncultured bacterium. Its description in RNAcentral is "partial 16S ribosomal RNA". It matches the Rfam family "Bacterial small subunit ribosomal RNA", at positions 28 to 507 of the family's 1533-position model. The record is from RNAcentral.